This is a long non-coding RNA of Daphnia carinata, 856 nucleotides long. RefSeq lists it as uncharacterized. The transcript is spliced from 10 exons. NCBI's taxonomy places the organism in Eukaryota, Metazoa, Arthropoda, Branchiopoda, Diplostraca, Daphniidae. The record is from RefSeq and is a predicted model, not a curated record.
CGUGGGUGGGGAACCGAAUUGACGACGUGUGCUGAAAAUGAUGCUGGAAUCACUUGAUUAUCUGCAUUCAUCAGCUCUACAUCGUGUUUCAUCCAAGGCAUGGAUGACAAUGUAGAGAUGCCGUAUCCUUUGGCGUGCUUUGUCUCGUUGGUGACUACUACAUGAAGAUUGUCUGGAACAAUGAGGCCACACUGUAUGAUGAAAGUUGCUGUUCUCUCGUGUGAGGUUGCAUUGAACGACCUGGGGAUUGCUGCUUGGGAUGUUGGCACGGAGGCUUAGCUGAGAUCUCUUUGGCUGUUCGUCCAUUUUAGUUGGAUCCAUAUCGAACAUUGCGUGAAUGGCGUCAUGUUAUUUAGGAUGGGAUGCUUUCUUGUGCCCUCGAAUUGUGUUCUACAUUCGCGUGUUGUUGUGGCUGACUUGAAUUUGCUGUGGCGGUUUCAUGUCGGCUUCACGUUGUCAAUCUGAUUAUCACGUCGUAGGGUUGCAUCGAGGGGGAUGUAUGGCUUCACAUCUCAGAUCCUUAUUUGGUGUAUUAAUACUGCAUCAUGUCGUGAAAUGGCGCUGACUCCGUUGUGUUGGGCUGUUGAUGGUUAGCAGCUCUUCCUGGAACAAUUCGUUUCUGGGUCUUUGUUUUGUGGCUGCAAUUUCCGGUCGGCGUGUGGCAUUCUUCAGAACAUCGACAACACUGACCUUGGAGUACUGACAUCUGUCACCGUCUUCUGGAGAACUUCCUGCAGAAAGCAAUUACCUGGUCAUAACUGCGCAUAUUCGAAUCUCGUUCGCUUUAAUAAUUAUAUUAUUUACAAUUAUUUAAUAAUUAUAUGUAUUUAAUUUUUCAAUACAAAACUUAAGUGAA